This 101-nucleotide small RNA is filed under the name Salmonella enterica subsp. enterica serovar Reading. RNAcentral describes it as "partial RtT sRNA". It matches the Rfam family "RtT RNA", at positions 32 to 130 of the family's 130-position model. From Rfam's summary of the family: This family represents a bacterial cis-regulatory element known as RtT RNA. The record is from RNAcentral. Lineage: Bacteria; Pseudomonadati; Pseudomonadota; Gammaproteobacteria; Enterobacterales; Enterobacteriaceae.
UCGAUUAAGGUUCGACUUGAGCGAAAGCGAGAGAACGUUGCCAACGGCAACGGCCCGUAGGGUGAGGAGCGAAGCGACGAAUAAUCCUUCCCCCACCACCA